GAUGAACGCUGGCGGCGUGCCUAAUACAUGCAAGUCGAGCGAACAGACGAGGAGCUUGCUCCUCUGACGUUAGCGGCGGACGGGUGAGUAACACGUGGAUAACCUACCUAUAAGACUGGGAUAACUUCGGGAAACCGGAGCUAAUACCGGAUAAUAUAUUGAACCGCAUGGUUCAAUAGUGAAAGACGGUUUUGCUGUCACUUAUAGAUGGAUCCGCGCCGCAUUAGCUAGUUGGUAAGGUAACGGCUUACCAAGGCGACGAUGCGUAGCCGACCUGAGAGGGUGAUCGGCCACACUGGAACUGAGACACGGCCCAGACUCCUACGGGAGGCAGCAGUGGGGAAUAUUGCACAAUGGGCGGAAGCCUGAUGCAGCAACGCCGCGUGCGGGAUGACGGCCUUCGGGUUGUAAACCGCUUUCGCCUGUGACGAAGCGUGAGUGACGGUAAUGGGUAAAGAAGCACCGGCUAACUACGUG
RNAcentral lists this ribosomal RNA (477 nucleotides) under uncultured bacterium. RNAcentral describes it as "partial 16S ribosomal RNA". It matches the Rfam family "Bacterial small subunit ribosomal RNA", at positions 28 to 507 of the family's 1533-position model. The record is from RNAcentral.